Non-coding RNA from Bombyx mori (domestic silkworm), 83 nucleotides. The record is from Rfam. Lineage: Eukaryota; Metazoa; Arthropoda; Insecta; Lepidoptera; Bombycidae.
UUAACUUUAAUUUGUAUUGAGUCGGAACAUUUGCCUAGUUUGCCGCUAGGGGCGCUGUUCCAACUGCAUACAAAUUUGAGUUA